RNAcentral lists this unclassified non-coding RNA (4149 nucleotides) under Leishmania donovani. RNAcentral's name for it is "gene:LdHU3.28.3360(CDS-product:hypothetical_prote in_conserved)". Lineage: Eukaryota; Euglenozoa; Kinetoplastea; Trypanosomatida; Trypanosomatidae. The record is from RNAcentral.
ACAUACACGCACACACAUACACACAUACAUAUACACUGGCCCAUUGAAACGCCUCCACAGUACUCCUUGCCUGCCUUGCUUGGAGGAGGGGUGGAGGUGUUUACGGCCCACUCUCGCCUUUGUUGCAGCUGCUGCUGUUGUCUCUGUGUCGUGUGUGUGUGUGUCCUUGCACCAGCUGCAUGUACUCCGCGCGCUUUUAGUUGGCCUGUUGCUAGCUCUCUCCCGACUUUCGCUGUCGUUUUCGGCGUUUGGUUCUGCCCCCCUCCCCAUCCCUCCCCCCACAGCACUCGUCUCUCCUCCGGUACCACACCCGCUCUCGCUGUGUGUGUCGGUGUCUUCUGCUGCUGUGUCCCACACCACACCCCGUCCACUUUCUCAUAUAGAAAUCUUUUCGCUGUUGUUGCGCUUCAUUUUGGGAUUAUACCGGAUUCGUCGAGACAAGCGCGAGGCGCAUGGCAAGGGCGAAGCGCUCAGCACACGUCCGUAUACACAACUCAGCCAGUGGGCCGAACAACAGCAACACACGAAAACGCAAAGAGCAGUGGUGUGUCUUCUCGAGGUGGCUGUUAGUGGGGUGAGAGAGGAGCAGAGAGUAAAGGACGCAUCCACCCACACACACACAUACACACACACACACAGCGCGAGAGCGAAGUGAAACCAACAAAAACGAGCGAACAGACAUUCUCGCUUCUCUUUUCCCUCGACCUGUAGCGCGUUGUUCUCAUCAUUGUUAGAGCGAAUGAGCCGCGUGUCUUUGCAGCGGCGACCACAUUCGUCGGCGCCGGGUGAGGUGAACUGCGCCGGUGCACCUGUACACCCAAAUGCGCUUCAUGCGCCACCUCGCCGCAGGGCGUCGGCAUGCUCGUCGUCAGCGGCGUACUUUCCGACGCAGGCGAGUCUGUUCCGCGACUCGUACGGCCUUCCUUUGACCUGCGCUGCAGUGUCAAGUGGGUGCUCCUAUCAGUCGCCGCACAGACGGCUGCAUGUCUACGCGAACGGUGGGGGCCGAGACGUCGGCCCGCGCUACCACGACGUAACCUGCAGCCCCGGUGCCAGGCGGCCGCCACCACCUCCACGGCGGGCGGUCACGGCAGGAGCAUCCGCAGGACGAUCUCGCGCCGCGAAUGGAAGCGGCGCCGCGGAUGCGGUUGUGUUUCAGUACUACUCGCAGCAGCGUCAGAAGCGAGGGCAGAUGCGUUCUCAGUCUUCUCUCCACGACUUUGAGGUGAUUGCCACACCAGUGCGCCGGCAGUCAUCCACGUCGAGCGGCGGUGGCUUUUCCGCACCUGCAACACCGGCUGGUGGGAACGUAGAGGCCUCAUCUCCCCCGCUGCCCUCUCGCUGUACCAGCCGCCCCCCUGCGCACGAUCGUGACGCGGGUAUCCACGCGCGCUUGCAUCGUCAACCCUCAGCAUCACCGUUGUCUAUGGAGCAAGAGAGCGUCAUUCACGACACGUCGACCUCGCUGAUUCCUCUCAUGCCGCCUAUAGACGAGGGCAGCUGGCCUGUGCAGCUAUCUCCUUCUCAGCACCAGCAGUGCGAAGCGAUGGUGCGGCUGCUGGCGCAGCUCCCGGCAGCACAGGCGCACCGCGUCCUUCUCGCUGCGAUCCGCCAGUACGAGGCACAGCGCUUGCUCCAGUACUACGGUGGCGUGCAUGCGUUGCCUGGGACUGAGAGCUCCCCGCGUGCGAUGCCACGAACCCCGUCAACAUCAUCGCUGGCGUCGUCCCCCGUCAAAGUCCCGUCAGCAAGGCGGCACGACGACGGCCGGUCCGCUCUCUUUGAGGCACUGCGAGCCCGCCUCGAUGACAUGCAACGCGCCGACAUGGCUGCACAGGCGCUCUCGCCGUUCACCGCGGCAUCCAGUCACUGGCAGCGGCGGGGCGGCAGCCGAGCGGACAGACCGGCGCGUGGGCAGUCGCAUGUCAGCCACUUCAUCAGGGCCAGCCCGCCCACCAUUCCUCCUCCCACAGCGGCGCGACGCCCGUAUCUGGCGCGCCGACAAACGCCGCAAGACAGUGAAACAAGACAGUGCCCCGACUCCGGCGACGCCCGCGCACCGCGGCAGCUCCGCAGCCGUAUUCUGGCGAGUCGUGUUGGCAAGCCGCGCGCCCGCGGCGCCGAGCAGGGAUGCCGUACGGGCGAAAAGGGUGCUGCGGCUCGUGACGCGUCGGCUUCGUCGCAGAACCACUCUACGCCGCUGCUGCAGCAGCGGCACGACUUCAUGAAGACGAUCAAGCCCCCGCACCGCCAUGGGUUGGCUGGUGCAUUGUUGGUGGAACCCGGUGCUCCUCACGAGGCAGCACCUGUGACCCAUGGCCAUGAUUCUGGUGGGCGCGCUAGUAUGCCACCAGGUGCACAGGUAACAGCAGUUGCAGGACGGGGCGAAGGAGUGCGAGAGGAGGGCCUGUACAGGCCCGCAUCGAUGGCGGAGCGCAACGACGGCUCGCUGCCACCGCCCUUGCUCGCAUUCACCGUUACCGGCAAGGAGAUGCCCGACGCCAGCGUCGGUUGGCCCCUCGCCGAAGGCACCGCUCUCUCUCCUGGGGCCGCCGCGGCAAGGCGGGCAUACUUGGAGCAACAGCAGAAGGAGCAGCAGCAGCGGCAGCGACCUUCAUCUCUCUCAAGGCUUAGCGCGGACGCGGAUGACGGGGAGGGGUCGGAGCUGCUGCCGGAAUCGGCGCGGCGUUCGCACGUCACACGUGACGAAAGCGACGCAGCGUGCCGUUAUCCGAGAAGCAGUUCAGCGGAUUGCUUUGGGCCCAACUCUGGCAAACGCGGCGCGGCCUCGCCAGGCAGCGUCUCCCUCGAAGACUCGGCGCCGCGGAGCGGGGGGCUGAGAGGCUCCUCGGCGCCGAGUGUGACCCCAGCGCCGCUUACGGGCGUUUUGGCUGCCCCGCCGCCGCCGAAACAGAUUCCUGGAGUGCAUCUGUCCACGCGAGUGGCGACGGUGGGCUCAGCAGGCGAGCCCGCAGUCUUCAUAACAGACUGCACUGGCGCAUCGACCUCGGCGCUGUGCGAUCCCAAGGCGCGGCCCCACGAUCGCAAGGGGAGCGACGACACUGGCACACCAGGUGCGCCACCAUCCAACAACGGCGCAUUCUGGGGGGAAGACUACGCGGCUGCGGCGGUGGGUGGCUCCUCGGGGUUGCACAGGCAGAAUCGAUAUCGCGAGGGUGGCAGCGGUGCUGACCCCUCCACGCCACCACUCCAGGGUAAAUGUGCGGAGGGACUCGAUGGGCAGAACCUGUUCUCAUCUCCCGCCCAGUUCGAAGAUAGCGUCAUCACUGCUUCCUCGAUUAGUUCAGAGCCUUUCUUGCAAGAACAAGCCGCCGACAACGACCGCGACGGCGUGAUAGCGCUGACGGCUCACUCUGCCAGUAGGUCGGCGGCCGCAGGAUCACGGGCAGCCAACAAAUCUUCUGACGAGCUCUUGCUUCCCUGGGAAAUCUAGCCUCGUCCGCCUCCCGCACAUCGUUGCCAUCCGCGUCGGCGCUGCUUUAGCACACUUCUCACCGUGACAAUUAUAUCGCCGCCGCCUCUCGCUUUCCUGUCUGUCGCACCAGUGAUCAUCAGAUGGGUGGCGCAGCGGCCUCCGGCCCCCUUCCCUCCCCCGGCACUUACCACUAACGCCUACCGAUCUGCACUCGUAGGUGCAACUCGCAGCAGGCGGUUCGGCGCAUCCGAAGCCAUAGUUCUCCUGCUUCUAGCCGUUCUUGCCUUUUCCUCGAGCACUAAGCGAAUCAAAACCAGCAAGGCGCUGCUACCCUCACCACACCUUUUCUCCUCCUAUCAUCGACGUUCACACCACCGCCAAACGCGCUGUGCGAUGCUGCAGAGCGGUACGCAGUACCUUUACUGCCGCCUAGGCCGGGUGCACAUGAACCACUACCCCAGUCAUUCGCUCCCAUCUCCCUGUCCCUUCAGACCCACUCACAUGCACCGAAAACGCCAACAUGCGUCGCCCCCCUCACGGAGUGGGCACCAACUAGCCCACAAGCUCCUCGCCAGGGAAAGGAGCGGCGCAGGACGUCACGCACACCCUCAUCGAAUUCAUCCCCGAAAGGAGGUAGGGAGUUAAAGCGGCAGUGCCGGCAACAGGAUGGGCUUGAUAGCCGUGUCUCAACCCUUACCUAGCGUACUGUGAGC